UUUUCAAACUAGAUGCAUAAGUUGGUCAUAUCGAAAUCGGGGGUAGGAAGCUCGUACUCAUAAAAAUACGACGGAGA
This 77-nucleotide transfer RNA is filed under the name Salvelinus fontinalis (brook trout). RNAcentral's name for it is "tRNA-Leu". The record is from RNAcentral. Lineage: Eukaryota; Metazoa; Chordata; Actinopteri; Salmoniformes; Salmonidae.